AAACAGGACGCAGGACUAUUGCUACAUAAAUCAGCAUCAGUACACCUUGACGAGCAAAAACAGGCCAUUUGUCACCAGUUGUAGCUGCCCGCGUGUGUACCACUUUUGUAAACGUUAUCAUUUUCUGGGACCUUUACCGUCCAUAAACUCCGAUGAAUCUGGUCCCCUUCGUUUAUCAUUAUUGAUAAUAAAGAGAGCAAUCCUCGCCCUCCACGGUCCAAUCCUCCCAGACAAUGCAAUUGACGUUGGAGCAGAGUGAGGUAUAAUCGGGUGGGAGGGUGUGACUGAGAGACACGAGAUUUUCAGGUGGCAGAGAAGGAAGGUUUCAGACGCUCGCCAGCGUUGCACCACCAAAACUUGCAAAAGUUCUGAUGGUGCCACGCUGUGUGCGUCUAAAAUCUUUUAACUCCUUGGCUUUCUUCAUAUAAUCAAUGCCAAUUGAAGGGAUUCAAGAAUCAAAACCUGGAUUGGAAGAAAAUUGGUGGAGAGCCGAUACGCGCGUUAGCUUUUGCAUUUUCUUUUUCUUUUUUAAGAAAUUUAAAUCCCCGCCAUGUAAUCUUUAUAAUCGCGCGAUGGUUUCUUGUUUUGUUCAAUUACUUGCUUCCUUCUUUUGAACAUUCUCUUUGCAUUGUUCUUCUUCUUAUUUCAUGCAUUUCCAGUUGAAGGACACUGGAGUGAAGCCAAUAACUAUAGUACUGUUUAUCAUUGCUCUUUGUUUUUUCUCCUUCCAAACUUCAUCCUAAUUAAUUCUCCAGCUUAUUUAAAUCUUGGUUAUGGAAAUUGGAAUAGUUAUAGCAUUGUUC
This 803-nucleotide long non-coding RNA is filed under the name Populus tremula. RNAcentral's name for it is "long non-coding RNA (PTRE_LNC000048)". Lineage: Eukaryota; Viridiplantae; Streptophyta; Magnoliopsida; Malpighiales; Salicaceae. The record is from RNAcentral.